UACGUAGGGUGCAAGCGUUGUCCGGAAUUAUUGGGCGUAAAGAGCUCGUAGGCGGUUUGUCGCGUCUGCUGUGAAAACUCGGGGCUCAACUCCGAGCUUGCAGUGGGUACGGGCAGACUAGAGUGCGGUAGGGGAGACUGGAAUUCCUGGUGUAGCGGUGGAAUGCGCAGAUAUCAGGAGGAACACCGGUGGCGAAGGCGGGUCUCUGGGCCGUAACUGACGCUGAGGAGCGAAAGCGUGGGGGGCGAACAGG
Molecule: ribosomal RNA, 253 nt
Filed under: uncultured bacterium
Lineage: Bacteria
Description: partial 16S ribosomal RNA
Rfam family: Bacterial small subunit ribosomal RNA
Source: RNAcentral